UUCUCUUUCUUUCCUUCCCUUCCCUUCCUAAACUCUUUCCUCCUUGCCCCAUUCCUCUUUCCUUUUUUCCUUUCCAUUCCUCCUUGUCCCAGUUCUUUCCUCCGUCCCCUUCCUUUCUUCUGCACUUUUUUCCUGUCUUUUCCUUCUUUUCUUUAUUUUCUCUCUUCUCUGCACCUUUUCUCCCUCUUCCAUUCAUCUUUUCUCCAUUUCCUCUCUUCUUUAUUAUUUUCUUGUAUUUUCCCUCCUGUCUAUAUUAUUUUCCUUUUCUAUACCCUUUUCUUCCUAUCUUCCCCUUUUUUCUUCAUUCCCUUCUUUUCUUACGUCCUUUCUUCCCUGUCCCAUCCUUCUUUCCUCCAUUCCCUCCCAUUUCCUCCUUCUCUGAUCCCUCACACAAGCUUCUCUCAUCUCCAUCAUCUGCCCUCAUUGUCCUAAGUAUUCCUUCCUUACCCAUUUUCUUUCCUCCUAAACCUUUUUCAUCCCUCUUUUCUUCCCUUCGUCAAUUAAUCAGUUCAACUUUUCCUUAGUUUUUUUUUUCCCUUCCCUACUGAUUUGUUUCCCCAUCGCCAAUUAGACACCACGGGAAAAAUACAUCGAGGGACACUUUUGUUCCCCAUCAGCAUCAGAGGAAGGAAGUAAAUACCACUGAUUGUAACAAAACAUGGCCUCCUCUGCUCUCCUGGGACCGUCCUGGUGAGAGAGAGAGAGAGAGAGAGAGAGAGAGAGAGAGAGAGAGAGAGAGAGAGAGAGAGAGAGAGUGGGGGUGGUGGGGCUCGUGGGGAAGGGAUAGAGAUGGGGAGAAUCGAAGUCAGUUUCCAGGGAGGUAAUAGAGAAGGGGACUUUUUAUGCAAGAGGGGCACUGGUCAAAGGCAACAAAAUAUAUACCUAUGAAAAGAAAGAGCCAAAAAAGUUUAACACAAAUGAGAGAAGUGUCUUGAGACCUCGCUCUCGAAAGAAUUCAAUUUAUAGGAAGGGGGAAAUACAGAAGCAGGCAGGGAGUUCCAGAGUUUACCAGAAAAAGGGAUGAAAGAUUGAAAAUACUGGUUAACUUUUGCAUUAGAGAGGUGGACAGAAUAGGGGUGAGCAAAAGUAGAAAGUCGUGUGCAACGAGGGCGCGGGAGGAUGGAAGGCAUGCAGUUAGCAAGAUCAGAAGAACAGUUGACGAGAAAAUAUCGAUAGAAGAUAGCAGGAGAUGCGACAUUGCGGGGAAGAGAGAGAGGCUGAAGACAUUCAGUUAGAGGAGAGGAGCUGGUAAGACGAAAGGCUGGUCUGGUCUGGGGGGACAGUCUCGUUAGGGGGACAGUAACCUGAUGAAGCGAGCAAACACGCGGUUCAAGAUUGUCCCAGAAACGAGUAAUCAUUGGUGACCGUCCUUAGCUCGGGACAGGACCAUCAGCUGGGCGGCGGCGGUAGUGGUGGCGACGGCGGUUGUGGUGGUAAGGUUAUACGAAGAGGAAGAAAAGGAAGAGAAGUAAAAGGAAAAGCCAGAGGAGGAGAAAGAAAAAUAGAAGAAGGCGCGAGAGAAGGAGAUGAGGAGGAGAAGGAGGAAAGCGCUAUAGAAGAAAGAAGAGCACCUCCCGCCUCGCGCCUUCCUUCCUCCCGUCUCCCGGAGUGUACACACCUGCACUCUUGAGGCUGCUGGCGAGAAGAACUGUGUCCCAAGCCCUCCACCAUGGCCGCCGCUCCGAAAGUUUGCGUCCGUCGCGCGAAGCUCAUCUUCCUGAUGGAGAACGCAGGCAAGGACGUCUUGACCUUCGUGUUGAAGCGCGGCGCGCUGAACGCCCCCGCCACGCCGCCAGGCCAGUCCCUCAUUGACUACCUUGACAACCUCCCUCAAGGCUCGACAGCCAACUAUGGCAGGAUGAGUAACAAACAAAAGAAAGCAGCACUGAACCACAGUUCAGUGCUGCUUAUCCUCUGACGUGACUACUUUAUUCAUUAUUUUUU
Molecule: long non-coding RNA, 1944 nt
Organism: Scylla paramamosain (green mud crab)
Lineage: Eukaryota; Metazoa; Arthropoda; Malacostraca; Decapoda; Portunidae
Exons: 3
Source: RefSeq, a predicted model, not a curated record